GGUCUGUGGAUUGUAAACCUCUUUUGUUAGGGAAGAUAAUGACGGUACCUAACGAAUAAGCAUCGGCUAACUCCGUGCCAGCAGCCGCGGUAAGACGGAGGAUGCAAGCGUUAUCCGGAAUUAUUGGGCGUAAAGCGUACGUAGGCGGUUUUAUAAGUCUGUUGUCAAAGCCCGAGGCUUAACCUUGGAAAGGCAAUGGAAACUGUAAGACUAAAGAGAGAUAGGGGCAGGAGGAAUUCCAGGUGUAGCGGUGAAAUGCGUAGAUAUCUGGAAGAACACCAGUGGCGAAAGCGUCCUGCUGGAUCUCAACUGACGCUGAAGUACGAAAGCUAGGGGAGCGAAUGGGAUUAGAUACCCCAGUUAGU
This 365-nucleotide ribosomal RNA is filed under the name uncultured cyanobacterium. RNAcentral's name for it is "bacterial SSU rRNA". It matches the Rfam family "Bacterial small subunit ribosomal RNA", at positions 413 to 794 of the family's 1533-position model. The record is from RNAcentral. Lineage: Bacteria; Bacillati; Cyanobacteriota.